RNAcentral lists this long non-coding RNA (316 nucleotides) under Homo sapiens (human). Its description in RNAcentral is "HSALNT0323291". The record is from RNAcentral. Lineage: Eukaryota; Metazoa; Chordata; Mammalia; Primates; Hominidae.
AAAAAUAUCACAGAUGUAUUCCUAUGGUUCAAGAUUCUUACUUCACUCAAAGCUAAUCACUUGCCCAACCUCACCUACUACUAUGCAUGGAAAACAGAGUCCUGUGUUGCCAACAUUGGGAAAAUGUUCCUUCCGAGGUGCUCUGCAAGCCUUCUGUUUACCACGAACUUGCUUAAACACAUUCAAAAUUUCAUACUCAAGAUUUUUCUCAAAGCAGAGAAAAUCUGUUAGUAGCAGAAUUAGAAUUGUCAUGAAUGAUAUGUUGUUAUUAUAGUGUACAAUAUGAAGAUUUUUUCUUCUGAAAAUACCAUGUAAU